GUGGGCGUAGCUCAGUUGGUAGAGCUCUGGUUUGUGGUACCGGUUGUCGCGGGUUCAAGUCCCGUCGCUCACCCCA
This 76-nucleotide transfer RNA is filed under the name Myxococcales bacterium. RNAcentral's name for it is "tRNA-His". It matches the Rfam family "tRNA". From Rfam's summary of the family: Transfer RNA (tRNA) molecules are approximately 80 nucleotides in length. Lineage: Bacteria; Pseudomonadati; Myxococcota; Myxococcia; Myxococcales. The record is from RNAcentral.